CCUACGGGCGGCUGCAGUGGGGAAUAUUGGACAAUGGGGGGAACCCUGAUCCAGCCAUGCCGCGUGUGUGAAGAAGGCCCUCGGGUUGUAAAGCACUUUCAGUGAGGAAGAACGCCUGGUGGUUAAUACCCAUCAGGAAAGACAUCACUCACAGAAGAAGCACCAGCUAACUCCGUGCCAGCAGCCGCGGUAAUACGGAGGGUGCGAGCGUUAAUCGGAAUUACUGGGCGUAAAGCGCGCGUAGGUGGCUUGAUAAGCCGGUUGUGAAAGCCCCGGGCUCAACCUGGGAACGGCAUCCGGAACUGUCAAGCUAGAGUGCAGGAGAGGAAGGUAGAAUUCCCGGUGUAGCGGUGAAAUGCGUAGAGAUCGGGAGGAAUACCAGUGGCGAAGGCGGCCUUCUGGACUGACACUGACACUGAGGUGCGAAAGCGUGGGUAGCAAACAGGAUUAGAUAUCCGUGUAGUC
Molecule: ribosomal RNA, 465 nt
Filed under: Vreelandella stevensii
Lineage: Bacteria; Pseudomonadati; Pseudomonadota; Gammaproteobacteria; Oceanospirillales; Halomonadaceae
Description: partial 16S ribosomal RNA
Rfam family: Bacterial small subunit ribosomal RNA
Source: RNAcentral